AUGGCGGCGGCCGCGGGCACAGCGAGGCAGGAGGGCGCGGCGCCCAGGGUGGGGCUGCUGUACGACCAGAGGAUGCUGGCGCACGCGCCUGCCUUGAACACAGAAAAGGAGACCCCCGAGCGGCUACGCGCCAUCUGGCGCAAGCUCGCCGCCGAGGGCGUCACCUCCAGGUGUGUGGGCAUGAGGGCGAAGGAAGCCAAGGAAAAAUAUAUAGCCUCUGUCCAUGCCCGGAAGCAUGUAGAUCUGAUAAGGAAAAUCAGCUCGAAGGAUAGUUCCGAUCUGAAAAAGACUGCUAAGAAAUUCGAUUCCGUUUACUUCAGCAAAGGCUCCUCAGAGUCUGCUUUCCUUGCGGCUGGUUCUGUCAUCGAGGUUGCUGAGAAGGUUGCGGCUGGUGAGCUGAGUUCUGCUAUCGCUCUAGUCAGACCUCCAGGCCACCAUGCCGAACAUAGCCAUCCCAUGGGAUAUUGCCUCUUCAACAAUGUGGCAAUUGCAGCUAACUACCUGUUAAAUGAAAGGCCUGACCUAGGUAUCAACAAGAUAUUAAUCGUCGAUUGGGAUGUUCAUCAUGGAAAUGGCACGCAGAACAUGUUUUAUAAUGACCCUCGUGUAUUGUUCUUUUCAGUGCACAGAUAUGGUUAUGGAAGCUUCUACCCUUAUGAAGCGGAUGCAUCACACGUUUUCAUUGGGGAUGAAACUGGUCGAGGGUACAACAUUAAUGUGCCCUGGGAGCAUGCGAAAUGCGGUGAUGCAGAUUAUGUUGCUGCAUGGGACCAUGUACUCCUUCCUGUUGCAGAAGCAUUUGAUCCGGAUAUAAUAUUACUGUCUGCUGGGUUUGACGCAGCACUGGGUGAUGAUAUGGGUGAUUGCUGCAUCACUCCAAAUGGAUAUGCACUGCUACUAACAAAGCUGUUAGGUUUUGCAAAAGGAAGGAUUGUGAUGGCCCUUGAAGGAGGUUAUAACCCUGAGUCCAUAGCAAACUCAGUUUGUGCUUGCGCAAAAGUAUUGUUGGGAGAUAAAUUCACACUUAACUCUCCAGAGAUGCAACCAUUCGAAUCUACAUGGAGAGUCAUACAAAUGGUACGCGAUGAAUUAAAGACAUACUGGCCUGUUUUGAGCAGUAAGCUUCCGGAGAACGUAUCUUUGAGGAGUACGCCCUCAUAUAUCCAGAAGUGA
RNAcentral lists this ribosomal RNA (1173 nucleotides) under Triticum aestivum (bread wheat). RNAcentral describes it as "partial small subunit ribosomal RNA". The record is from RNAcentral. Lineage: Eukaryota; Viridiplantae; Streptophyta; Magnoliopsida; Poales; Poaceae.